GGAAUAUUGCACAAUGGGCGCAAGCCUGAUGCAGCAACGCCGCGUGAGUGAUGAAGGCUUUCGAGUCGUAAAGCUCUUUGAUCAGGGACGAUAAUGACGGUACCUGAAAAACAAGCCACGGCUAACUACGUGCCAGCAGCCGCGGUAAUACGUAGGUGGCGAGCGUUGUCCGGAAUUACUGGGCGUAAAGGAUGCGUAGGUGGAUAUUUAAGUGGGAUGUGAAAUCCCUGGGCUCAACCCAGGAAUGGCA
RNAcentral lists this ribosomal RNA (250 nucleotides) under uncultured bacterium. RNAcentral's name for it is "partial 16S ribosomal RNA". It matches the Rfam family "Bacterial small subunit ribosomal RNA", at positions 358 to 625 of the family's 1533-position model. The record is from RNAcentral.